AGCUAGUCAAAGGUGACUAAUUCAUGUGGAUAGAAAAAUAAUACAUGCCAAAAGAAAUUUGAGGAACAAAUUCAGCCCUGAGACAGGUCACGGAAACAGCCCUCCAGUCUUCCUCAAGAAAUGUAGACUGAAUCAGCAUUUACCCACCCCUGGAAAAACGCAGGAGCUGCGCAUUCCUGGGAUCUCAGCAGGGCUUUUGGGAAGAGCAGAACUGGGCUGGAGUCACGGUUUCUGGGCUGACUCUAGAUUUUCCCCGGCUUUUGCCACCUGUGAUGGCUGGAGAGUAUCUGAAGAUGACAGACCCCCUACUCCCAGUGACACAAGAUGGUUGGACCCACGGCUGAUUUACU
RNAcentral lists this long non-coding RNA (350 nucleotides) under Homo sapiens (human). RNAcentral's name for it is "non-protein coding LINC01823:10". Lineage: Eukaryota; Metazoa; Chordata; Mammalia; Primates; Hominidae. The record is from RNAcentral.